RNAcentral lists this long non-coding RNA (326 nucleotides) under Mytilus galloprovincialis (Mediterranean mussel). Lineage: Eukaryota; Metazoa; Mollusca; Bivalvia; Mytilida; Mytilidae. The record is from RNAcentral.
CUCCGUCUAAAUUUAAGUUUUAAGAAUUAUAGGUUAAAGAACGGACCUCAACACCGAGCCUUGGACUACUAUGAACAGCAAACUGUAAGGAGCCUUAAAAUUGAUUGGCUUAACGUCCAGUGGUAUAUAUUUCAUGCAUGUUGAGGACGAGGACAUUUAACAAUAAAUUCAAUAUGUAGGUCUUGUCAUAAUAGAGGCCAUUCGGGAUGAUGGUCGGGGAAAUUUGGACUGCGACCAAGGGUAUUUAGGAUAGGGACAGACAUUUUGCCUUGCAACAGGCCAUCUACGGACUCCUUAAAGAGUUAUUGCAAGGGUUCUUAACGAGC